RNAcentral lists this ribosomal RNA (253 nucleotides) under uncultured bacterium. RNAcentral's name for it is "partial 16S ribosomal RNA". It matches the Rfam family "Bacterial small subunit ribosomal RNA", at positions 524 to 776 of the family's 1533-position model. The record is from RNAcentral.
UACGGAGGGUGCAAGCGUUGUCCGGAUUUAUUGGGUUUAAAGGGUGCGUAGGCGGCCCGUUAAGUCAGUGGUGAAAGCCUCCAGCUCAACUGGAGAACUGCCAUUGAUACUGACAGGCUUGAGUACAGACGAGGUUGGCGGAAUUGAUUGUGUAGCGGUGAAAUGCAUAGAUAUGACAUAGAACACCAAUUGCGAAGGCAGCUCGUUACACGAAUAUUGACUCUGAGGCUCGAAAGCGUGGGGAUCAAACAGG